This 433-nucleotide ribosomal RNA is filed under the name uncultured bacterium. RNAcentral's name for it is "partial 16S ribosomal RNA". It matches the Rfam family "Bacterial small subunit ribosomal RNA", at positions 29 to 507 of the family's 1533-position model. The record is from RNAcentral.
AAUGAACGCUGGCGGCAUGCCUAACACAUGCAAGUCGAACGAGACCUCCGGGUCUAGUGGCGCACGGGUGCGUAACGCGUGGGAACCUUCCCUUAUGUUUGGAAUAACUCUCCGACAGGGGUGCUAACACCGGACAAUGUCUUCGGACCAAAGAUUUAUCGCCGUUGUUUGGGCCCGCGUUGGAUUAGCUGGUUGUUAGGGUAAUAGCCUACCAGGGCGAGAAUUCACAGCUGGUCAGAGAGGAUGAUUAGCAACACUGGGACGAAGACGCGGCCCAGACUCCUACGCGAGGGAGCAGUGGGGGAUGUAGGAACGUGGGGGGAGGGAUGAAGCAGCACUGCCGGGUAAGUGAUGAAGGCAUUAAGGAUGUAAAGCGCUUUUACCCGGGAUGAUAAUGACGGUACCGGAAGAAUAAGCUCCGGCUAACUCCGUG